This 440-nucleotide ribosomal RNA is filed under the name uncultured bacterium. RNAcentral describes it as "partial 16S ribosomal RNA". It matches the Rfam family "Bacterial small subunit ribosomal RNA", at positions 338 to 795 of the family's 1533-position model. The record is from RNAcentral.
CCUACGGGAGGCAGCAGUAGGGAAUAUUGCUCAAUGGGGGAAACCCUGAAGCAGCAACGCCGCGUGGAGGAUGAAUGUUUUCGGAUUGUAAACUCCUUUUGUUAGAGAAGAUAAUUACGGUAUCUAAAGACUAAGCACCGGCUAACUCCGUGACAGCUGCCGCGGUAAUACGGAGGGUGCAAGCGUUACUCGGAAUUACUGAGCGUAAAGAGCGCGUAGGCGGGCUAGCAAGUCAGCUGUGAAAUCCUAUGGCUUAACCAUAGAACUGCAGUUGAAACUGUUAGUCUAGAGUAUGGGAGAGGUAGGUGGAAUUCUGGGUGUAGGGGUAAAAUCCGUAGAGAUCAAGAGGAAUACUGAUUGCGAAGGCGACCUGCUAGAACAUAACUGACGCUGAUGCGCGAAAGCGUGGGGAGCAAACAGGAUUAGAUACCCUUGUAGUC